CCUACGGGUGGCAGCAGUGAGGAAUAUUGGUCAAUGGCCGGAAGGCUGAACCAGCCAUGCCGCGUGAAGGUCAGUGCCCUAUGGGCGUUAAACCUCUUUUGUGCGGGAGCAAUAAUGGUCACGUGUGGCCAGACGAGAGUACCGUACGAAUAAGCAUCGGCUAACUCCGUGCCAGCAGCCGCGGUAAUACGGGGGAUGCAAGCGUUAUCCGGAUUUAUUGGGUUUAAAGGGUGCGUAGGCUGUGAGGUAAGUCAGCGGUGAAAUGCCCCCGCUCAACGGGGUGAAGUGCCAUUGAUACUGCCUGGCUGGAAUGCGGAUGCCGUGGGAGGAAUGUGUGGUGUAGCGGUGAAAUGCAUAGAUAUCACACAGAACACCGAUUGCGAAGGCAUCUCACGAAUCCGCGAUUGACGCUGAUGCACGAAAGCGUGGGUAUCAAACAGGAUUAGAUACCCUUGUAGUC
This 460-nucleotide ribosomal RNA is filed under the name uncultured bacterium. RNAcentral's name for it is "partial 16S ribosomal RNA". It matches the Rfam family "Bacterial small subunit ribosomal RNA", at positions 338 to 795 of the family's 1533-position model. The record is from RNAcentral.